CUCCUUGUAGCUUAGCGGUAGAGUACUGAUGCGUAAAACCAGGGGGCCGGGUUCAAUUCCCGGCGAGGUAG
RNAcentral lists this transfer RNA (71 nucleotides) under Agrilus planipennis (emerald ash borer). It matches the Rfam family "tRNA". Rfam says of the family: Transfer RNA (tRNA) molecules are approximately 80 nucleotides in length. Their secondary structure includes four short double-helical elements and three loops (D, anti-codon, and T loops). Lineage: Eukaryota; Metazoa; Arthropoda; Insecta; Coleoptera; Buprestidae. The record is from Rfam by way of RNAcentral.